UAACUCUGUGACCGGGGGGGAGUGAGUACAGCCAACAAAGAGAGCGCAGCGAAACAACAAUGCGGCGCUUGCGACGCGUUGGCCCGCAGGGCGAGGAACGCAGUGACGAGUCAUCCUUCCCCCACCACCG
Molecule: small RNA, 130 nt
Filed under: Photorhabdus heterorhabditis
Lineage: Bacteria; Pseudomonadati; Pseudomonadota; Gammaproteobacteria; Enterobacterales; Morganellaceae
Description: RtT sRNA
Rfam family: RtT RNA
About the family: This family represents a bacterial cis-regulatory element known as RtT RNA. The exact function of RtT is unknown although it is thought that it may be involved in changing the cellular response in relation to amino acid starvation.
Source: RNAcentral